AUCUCAAAUCAAGUAAGACUACCCGCUGAACUUAAGCAUAUCAAUAAGCGGAGGAAAAGAAACUAACAAGGAUUCCCCUAGUAACGGCGAGUGAAGCGGGAUGAGCUCAAAUUUAAAAUCUGGCUGGUUUACUAGUCCGAAUUGUAGUUUAAAGAAGCGUUUUCGGUGGCAGCCUGGGUAUAAAUCCUUUGGAACAGGGUAUCAUAGAGGGUGAGAAUCCCGUCUUUGACUCAGUGCAUGCUACUAUGUGAUACGUUUUCAAAGAGUCGAGUUGUUUGGGAAUGCAGCUCAAAAUGGGUGGUAAAUUUCAUCUAAGGCUAAAUAUUGGCGAGAGACCGAUAGCGAACAAGUACCGUGAGGGAAAGAUGAAAAGAACUUUGAAAAGAGAGUUAAACAGUGCGUGAAAUUGUUGAAAGGGAAACGCUUGACACCAGUCAUGCGAGCGGAAAAUCAGUCUUUUGCAGUGGGGAGUUGUGUGGGUUCGGACCGCAAGGCCGGCCUGUGCUGCAUCUCUGCUGUAAGUGAUGCACUUUUUCGUUUGCAGGCCAACAUCAGUUUCUUCUGCUGGACAAAACUCUUGAGAAGGUAGCAGCUUUGGCUGUGUUAUAGCUCUUGAGCGAUACAGUGGAGGGGACUGAGGUUUUCGCAGCGCGUGCUCUCGGGCAAGGCUGAUUGGGUGCUAUGGGAUCGUUCGGUGUACAAUGCAUGCAUUUUGCGCCGUGUCUUUUCUAUACUCGCUCAACUCGGCUNUCCGCG
This 756-nucleotide ribosomal RNA is filed under the name Mortierella sp. BESC196b. RNAcentral's name for it is "eukaryotic LSU rRNA". It matches the Rfam family "Eukaryotic large subunit ribosomal RNA", at positions 1 to 605 of the family's 3401-position model. Lineage: Eukaryota; Fungi; Mortierellomycota; Mortierellomycetes; Mortierellales; Mortierellaceae. The record is from RNAcentral.